This 350-nucleotide unclassified non-coding RNA is filed under the name soil metagenome. Its description in RNAcentral is "partial contains 5.8S ribosomal RNA, internal transcribed spacer 2, and large subunit ribosomal RNA". The stretch from base 1 to 119 matches the Rfam family "5.8S ribosomal RNA", at positions 35 to 154 of the family's 154-position model. The record is from RNAcentral.
GAUGAAGACGUAGCGAAAUGCGAUAAGUAAUGUGAAUUGCAGAAUUCAGUGAAUCAUCGAAUCUUUGAACGCACAUUGCGCCCGCCAGUAUUCUGGCGGGCAUGCCUGUUCGAGCGUCAUUACAACCCUCAGGCCCCCGGGCCUGGCGUUGGGGAUCGGCGGAGCCCCCCGUGGGCACACGCCGUCCCCCAAAUGCAGUGGCGGUCCCGCCGCAGCUUCCAUCGCGUAGUAGCUAACACCUCGCGACUGGAGAGCGGCGCGGCCACGCCGUAAAACACCCAACUCUUCUGAAGUUGACCUCGAAUCAGGUAGGAAUACCCGCUGAACUUAAGCAUAUCAAUAAGCGGAGG